Equus caballus (horse) is the source of this 6327-nucleotide long non-coding RNA. RefSeq lists it as uncharacterized. The record is from RefSeq and is a predicted model, not a curated record. Lineage: Eukaryota; Metazoa; Chordata; Mammalia; Perissodactyla; Equidae.
CUGUCCCGCUUCCUCCCGGUUCUUUCUUCUCUGUCUUUUCCCUGGCUCUUAGAAAAUCACGUAGUCUACUUAGAAGGGCCUCUGGAGAUCUUCAGGCCCUCUUCCCUGCAUUUAUCCAGGGCCCAUCCUGCCCACCCCUCCAGAGCACCCCAUCCUCCCCCAAACUGCUAAGGACGCAUCUCGCGCUGUGCCUCAUGCCAGUGGAUACAAAGUAGGUAGGGCCUCCCAUCUUCCUCAGGUCUAACCCAACACUUCUUGCUGCGGUUUAGGGAUGAGGCCAUCUUCUCUGUUUUGCCCUUCAAGAGGAUGCAAAAGGCUCUUUUUUUCUUCCUCCUUCCUUUUUCCACUCUCUGUGUUUAUUUUUUCGUGAGUGUCCUAAUUUAUCCUUCCCCAGGGCUUCAGAAGUUACCCCCACCCUUUCUCUCCCUCCUCCCAUCUCUGUCUUUGUCUUUAGAUGGGCAACUACAGAUGUUUCCCAUACACAGCCCGCCCCAACUGUCCGCCGGACCCAGUUGUCUCUGUCACACUGGGCGCCUACUUCUGGUGGUGAGCCCCGCUCCUGCCUCAUGCAGCCUGAGUGGUUGGGGCUAGCGAAACGCUGCAGCUGAAAUGGUCUGCAGGCUGGAUCCUGCGGGCUUUCCCGCCCAGCUGUCUGCAUGGGGAGAAGUACGAUUUGAGGCUGCCCUCCUGGCUCCUCUGACAAAAUGCCAGAAAUCCCUGGGCCUCUGCCCAGUCCACAGAACGGGUCCCACUGGUUCUCCUUGCCCCGGACCUCUGCCCCUGGGCUGUACUGGCCCCUUUGCCCAAAAAUUUCCAGGGCAGGCCGAGGCAAUCUGCCUGGAAAACAAACCCUGUGCUGAGCCGCGGCAGGGUGGGCCAAGGAGUUUUCGUUUGAUCCAAAAGCUCCCAGCUUGGACCAAACCUCAUAAAUCAGGAGAGGAUUUUGGGUUGUUAUUUUAAGAGCAGCCUGUCUUCUCUUGUGCUGGCUGCCUCCCUGCUCCUCCUCAGCCUCCCUCUCUCCCCUCUCCCUCUGAGAGUUGGGGAAAGGUCAGGCACGGAGAGCAGGCAGGCAGGGCCGGGAGGAAAGUGAUGGGCUCAUUUAGCAGGAGCCAUCUCCCUGCCUGGCUGUGUCCCCUGACCUUCGUUCUGACUAGAAGACCUCACUGAUGUCCCAGCCCUGCCAGUCUGGGGAAGUUACGGCCUUGUGUGUAGGGAGCAUCUUCCAACAUUGCCAGCACCCUCAUUUCCAUGAAUCCAUUUCGCCCCAGCAGCCCUGGAUGGGGUGUAGUGGGGAGAGAGGCCCCAGGGGUCCCAGAGUCAGCUGUGCCCAUGCUGGACUCUCUCCCAGUGCGCUGGCUCCCCAGGCCUCUGGAGUUGGCCCCGCCUAUGGGACUACCUGCUUAGAGAGCACGCCUUCUGUGGAUCCAGAGAAGGACUCCCAGAAGCUUCCACAUCCUGGUCUCUUAUGGAGGUGCCUGAGAGUACAGACUCUGGUUUAAAAUCUGGCUCGACCCCUUAAUGACCGUGGAGCCUUGGGCAAGUUACUCAGCUUUUCUGUGCCUUAGUUUCCUCACCUGUAAAACAGUGGUAACGAUGGGGCUGUUAGGAGAACGAAUUGAUUACCCUUUAGAAAGCGCUGAGAGCAGUGCCUGGUCCACAGUCAGUGCCGUGUGAGUGUUGGCUAAACAAAGCAGUCCCGGCCCUGAAAUCUAGGACCACACGGCUCCCAACCUUCUCUCAGGCAUGGAUGGCCCAUGGCUUCCUGGCCCUGCUCCUCCGGGCCGUUCACCUGUUCAACAAGUAUUGACUGAACACUUAUCAUGUGCCUCUGUGUUCAGCCUUGGGUUUGCUGUGUGAACAAAAUAAAAUGGUCCCUCUGCUCAUGGAAUUUACAGUAAAUGCACAAAUAAAUACAUAAUUUCAGUGUGUAUGUAGUGCAGUGUGUGGUCCACUGUAGAGGAAGAAAAGACUGGGAUAUCAUGCCAGAGAAUAACAGGGCAAAUCCACUCAGGGGCUGGAGUCUAUGAGCACCUACACGAGGAAAUGGCAUUCAGCCCCAGACCUGAAGGAUGAGGAGUAGCAGCAAUAGUGGUUGGAGGGGGAAGAGCAUUCUGACAGAGGGAACAGCCUGUGCGAGAGCCUUGGGGCAAGAAGGGGCGGAGCAUGUAGCAAAAACGGAAGAAAGCUGAGUGGCUGGACCCAGUGAGUGGAGCUGGGAGAGAGGAGGCUGCAGAGUGAGGGCGGACCAGGGUUAGGAGCUGGGGUCUCAUUCCACGUAAAGUGUGACACAGGGAAGGGCUCUAAGUGGCACAGCGGCACGGUCCCAUGUUGGGUGUCAGAGCCCCCUGUGGCUGUGGUGUGGACAGCGGCGUGGUGGUGAGGAAGUAGAGAAGAGGGUAGUUAGAAGGGUCUGCAGUGAUCAAGGGAGAGGUGCUGGAACCUUAGAUUGGAGAAGUGCCAUGGAUGGAGAGACCUGCGUCCAGCUGAGGUGUGUUUUACAGGAAGUGCCGGGCUUAGAAAUGGCACGUGUGGGAAAGCUGCUAGGAUUUCGGGUUGUUAAGCUCGCUGUGACUCGAGGGGCCAGUGACAGGUGGAUCUGGGGGGAUGGAUUUGAGGGUGGUAUCAGCGAUGACUGCCCCCGGCUGUGGCUGGAGCCCCUGGGUAGAAGAAGAUGGAGAAUGUGAUGUUCCCAAACGCUCCUUUCUUCAAUGUGCCUAAACACCCUGUUUUGAAUGUGCUCAUUUUACCCCUACUGAAGACUUGGGGUGAUGGUCAUAGAAAAAAAUGGAAGACUUCUGAAAAUAGGUCCUUUCUAGCGCAGAGUGGAGAAUGACUGUUGCUUCCUUGUCCUAAGUCCCACACUUCCGUCUUGGAGCGCUCAGGGUCUGGAUCCAGAUUAAUCCAGGCUCCACCACUGACUAGCUAUGAGUUCUUGAGUAAAUUUCCUAAAUCUCUCUUGUCUCCAUUUCCUCUUCUGCAAAAUGGGGAUAAUAGAGUGGUUCCUACCCCAAGGUUGUUUUGAGGACUGUGCUGAGCACACCGUAAACAUUACCAUUCAUACAUCCGAAGGGCGAACGUUCAUUUCCGCCAGCAGCUUGUGUCACAGUAAGAUUAUCAUCCCCUAAAAUCCUAAAAGCUUUCCUAUACAAGCCAGUUUGAAGCCCUGCUUCCAUCAUUCCAUGUUCCUGCCCUUGGAUUUUUAAACUCAAGUUCAGGGCCGGACAUUUAUCCCUGUUAAAUCUCAUUUUGUUAGACGCAGUCGGUGGCGCCAGCCUGUCGGUUUCCUUUUCCUUUGAUGAGGGGAAGGUCCUGUGAUGCGUGCUCGGUUCAUUUCUGUGGCUCCCAAGGCAUCCACGGAGAGUGCCUUUGCCCCCUCACCCCCCGGGGAGCGGCCUGGUCUUGGGAGGUGGAGCAGGGCCGGGUUGCGGCUGAGCUGGAGCUGGGGAUACAGCUUAACGCUGCCUCACCUGAGGCGGAUCCGGCACAGCCAUCCUGGCUCCCUGCCCUCAAGUCCAGCCCUGGCUUUGGGUUUUGAGACGUAGGGUCAGAGGGACUUGUUCAAUGUCACUUAGUGGGCUGGCCAGUGACACAGGGCUAGGGCUCGGGCCACAGUUCAGAUCUCACUCCAAAGGCCCCACUAUGUUAGGUUCUCACCUCUUUCCAAACCACUCGAUCACAUUCCCUGAUCUCGGCCAGAGAAGAACGCGGGCCGGAGGGACAGAGAGGUGCAGCUGCAUAAAGCCGUCUUUCUUCUCUUGCUUCCACAGGGGCCCCUGGGUCUACCAGCCUCCCUCCCACAUACUGUUUUCUCUGCUGGGCAGAGCAGCCUCUUCCACACUGCCUGGGGGGUUUGUGCUCUGCCCUACUCUUCUGCUCCUCUGACCCUGUCCAAAGUCCCUGUCCUCACCUUGGAGGUGGUCUCCUCACAGCAGACGGGGAUGGCUUUGAUGUUCAUGCUCGACUGCGUGCAAUACAGAGCCUCCCUCCUGUGGGACUCUCUCUGCCUUUACUUCCUGAGGGCAGGUGGGUCUCCAUCAGGCUGAGAGCUCCCCGGACAGAGCCUGUGUAUCCUGGGAGUUCUCAUCCUUCUCCCCCUGCUCUCCAAGCACCUACUGGGCUCUGUUCACGGAGGGAGCUGAACUUGAAGGCGACCCUGGCACUUAGCAAAGGCCUGCAAAGAGAGCCAAACCUGGAAGCCUGGUGAAGCAAUGGCGCAUUCAUUCCACGGUGCCCCCGGACUCUGGAGAGCGGGGAGUGGAGGGGCACAUUCAGACGCCAGGCGAGUGCGGCUGUCCUCCCGGCCAGGCACAACAACAUGCUUCGGUUCAGCUGGAAGACUUCACUAGCCUCCAGAACUGAUGGCGCCUUGGUCCAGUGCCUGCCACCGUCUCCUCCUCCCCCGUUAAUGCACUCGUUGUUCACUAUGUGUGCUGCGAGGUGUUUUUCCAGGUGGUGGGUUCCAGGGGGAAUUGAAUUUCCCUAACAAGCAGGCUUGCAAAUAACUAGGCAGGGCCGGGAGCGAGAGGAAGGCAGCUCCUAUUAGAUUCUAACAGUGGCAACCCACAGCCCAACCCUCCCGGGAGCAACCUGCCCAGACUAGAGCAUGGGGAAGAAAUUCUAGAAGCAUCUUCUUUCCCAAGUUUCCCAUUCCUCAAAUAGAUCUUGGUUAGUUUUCUCUGCCAAUUUGCUGGUUUGGCUUGGAGAGCAUGGGCGGGGCAGGAGAAGGGCUGAAACAGAGGAUAGAGAAGAAGAAAAAGAUAAACCCUUUAUAUUUGUGUAAUGCACUGGCCUCUCUCCUCCAGGAUAUCCCAGGACUGUAGCACCUCUGAGGAUUGCUUUGUGAUGCACACAGUCCUCAUCCUCUGUCCAGGCCUGGACUGUGGCAGGGCAGCGAGGCCCUGAGGGGGGACUGUCCUGUCACGCCUCCUCAGGAGCAGGAUUAGGAGAGCAGAUGUAGCCUGUUCUCGGGAGGCUCCUCCCCCUCUGCCCUGCACGCUGCCGCCUGAACGGAAGGGCAGGCUCAGAGGCUUCCUCAGAGCCCUCCUCCCACUACAGAUGCGUGGAGCAUAAGAGGUCACCUGCUCCAGUCUCCAGCCUCCAGGCGGGAAAAUUCCACAGCUUCCAGAGCGGACAGAAGACUCAGGGCUGCUCUUCAACCAAGACGGGGCAAACGUCAGAUAUAAGAGGGGCCUGGGGCUAGGACCUAUUGAGGCUGCUCUGUGGUUUGGUGGCACGCUGCCUCGUGUCAUCAGGGGUUGUCAGCUGCUGCUCUGGAGUCUAGGAGCUGACCGUUCAGGGCUCCAGCAGCAGAUUGGACCCUCUGUGACAGCAUUUAUCAGCUGGGUUGGGAGCCUCUGCCCUUCCCUCUUCACCAGGCGAUGGAGCUGCCUGAGGGAGAUGACCAGGCUUCCUCCUCUGACUGGCUGAAAGCGUCUCCAGGUCUCUCAGGUCAGAAGGCCGCAGAGCAGGCUCAUGGAGAUGAAGGCUUAGGAGACGACAGGAGAGAAGAAAAAGCCAACACAUGGAAGAUGGUGAUGGAGAAGGAUGGAGAAAGCUCGGGUUUUUAAUGAAAUCACAGAGCUCCCAAACUGUUCCUGAGGAGGCAUUGUUUCCCGAUUUCCUGUUGGUAAACCAUAAAUGUUGCUACAGGGUUUAAGUUUGCCACAUCACAGAAGCCUUGCGAGUGUUUCUGCCAUGUUCUCCUCUGCAUGGAGGAUGCCCUGCCCGUGGAACAGGGACAGUCAUGAAGAAUGGCCAGAGGACCCUGGACUGAAUGAUUCACCAGAAGCAGGAGUGCCUUCUGGAAGUCUGCAGAAAACUUGAGAUGGGCAUUAGACUUUGCAAAAUCCAGGCAGCGACGAUGGUUCAAGGCAUAUUUCCCUUGAUCUUCAGAAGAGUGUGACUACCUCUGGUCUCGUCUGUGGUGUCUCAGUGGCAGUAUGUGUGUAAGAAGGGGGAGGUUUCCGUGUCUGUAUAGUUGCUGGCUGCAUUUGCACCCAUACUUAAAGGUGUGGGUGUUCAUGUGCUUCUUCUGCUUUUGUGUAGGGAUAUUAUUACACAUUGUAUCUUUGUUGGAGAUGCUGCUAAAUGUUCAUGUGAUCAUACUUUUCUUCCUCACUGAGUCUUCAUAGAGGGAAACUGAGUCCCUUCCCACACCUUGAGGAGUAGAGGCUUUCCCAGGAUCUGAGCCCUGCCAAGUAACAUGCGGUCCCUGCUCCCAUCUUUCCUUCUCGUGCCCCUUCCCCAUUUCUCUGACUCCUUCCUCCAACACUAAGAAGAGCCAAGGCCCUUAACCAAGAGCAGGAAAAUAAAAAUCAGGUCACCAGA